GUUUAUAGCCAUGCCACCUUGAACAAGCCCGAUCUCAUCUGAUCUUGAAAGCUAAGCAAGGUCCAGCCUAGUUAGUUAGUAUUUGGAAGACCACCUAGGAAGACCAGGUACUGUAGGCG
Pteropus alecto (black flying fox) is the source of this 119-nucleotide non-coding RNA. NCBI's taxonomy places the organism in Eukaryota, Metazoa, Chordata, Mammalia, Chiroptera, Pteropodidae. The record is from Rfam.